Long non-coding RNA from Colius striatus (speckled mousebird), 771 nucleotides. RefSeq lists it as uncharacterized. The transcript is spliced from 4 exons. NCBI's taxonomy places the organism in Eukaryota, Metazoa, Chordata, Aves, Coliiformes, Coliidae. The record is from RefSeq and is a predicted model, not a curated record.
GGCGGCGGCGGCCGAGGAAGGGGGGGGCGCCGGGCCGCGGCGGGGCCCAAAGUUGUCGUCGCGGCGGGCGGCGCGGAGCGGAGCGCGGAGGGGCCGCGGCAGGCGCAGAGCGGCGGCGGCAGCGGCUCCGGCCCCGCGGCGAGCGGCUCCGGCCCGGGUGGGGACACGGUGACGCGGCGGCGGCGGCGGCGGCGGCGGGGGCCGAGGGGGGGGAGCAUGUCCCCUCCUUGAGCCGCCUCGGGCCGGCUCCCCCACCCUCUGCCUGACCCUGCCCGCUCCUCCCCUCCCUCUCGACCCUCGCCAUCUCCCCCCCGCCCCAAGCACACACAACAACCUCCCGCCCCGGGGCCGAGGAGGACUCGCCUCAGCGCAACCGGCACCGGGGGCAAAGAUGUCGGCAAAGUGGCGGGUACUGGACGAGCCCGGCAAAACCAUAAACCAAAACCAUGAUUCUCUGAGCCACCACCACCCACCACCUUCCCAGGCGUAAGCCACAACCCCCGCCCCGGGCCCGGAGUCAGGCUCAGCAAUUGGCUCAGUCGUUUGUCGAGGACAGACAGACAGACAGACACACACAAGAUGGCUCAGGCGAGCCUCCUGGCCUGCGAGGGCCUGUCCGGCGUCUGCCUCGUGCCCACCGUGGCCAGCAAGAAGAUGAUGCCCAAGGCGGGCUCCAAGGCGGGCGAGGGCCGGGAGCGGGGCGGCAGCCCCGACGCGCUGGCUCUCCGGCAGGACCCCGACAAGCCCCGCAGCCGCAAGGAUGAGGAGGCG